RNAcentral lists this ribosomal RNA (540 nucleotides) under Bacillus velezensis. RNAcentral's name for it is "bacterial SSU rRNA". It matches the Rfam family "Bacterial small subunit ribosomal RNA", at positions 50 to 568 of the family's 1533-position model. Lineage: Bacteria; Bacillati; Bacillota; Bacilli; Caryophanales; Bacillaceae. The record is from RNAcentral.
CACACAUGCAAGUCGAGCGGACAGAUGGGAGCUUGCUCCCUGAUGUUAGCGGCGGACGGGUGAGUAACACGUGGGUAACCUGCCUGUAAGACUGGGAUAACUCCGGGAAACCGGGGCUAAUACCGGAUGGUUGUUUGAACCGCAUGGUUCAGACAUAAAAGGUGGCUUCGGCUACCACUUACAGAUGGACCCGCGGCGCAUUAGCUAGUUGGUGAGGUAACGGCUCACCAAGGCGACGAUGCGUAGCCGACCUGAGAGGGUGAUCGGCCACACUGGGACUGAGACACGGCCCAGACUCCUACGGGAGGCAGCAGUAGGGAAUCUUCCGCAAUGGACGAAAGUCUGACGGAGCAACGCCGCGUGAGUGAUGAAGGUUUUCGGAUCGUAAAGCUCUGUUGUUAGGGGAAGAACAAGUGCCCGUUCAAAUAGGGGCGGCACCUUUGACGGUACCUAACCAAAAAGCCACGGCUAACUACGUGCCAGCAGCCGCGGUAAUACGUAGGUGGCAAGCGUUGUCCGGAAUUAUUGGGCGUAAAGGGC